GUGGCUCAGUGGAACGAGCCUGGGCUUGGGAGCCAAAGGUUAUGGGUUCGAAUCCCAUC
Molecule: transfer RNA, 59 nt
Filed under: Ornithorhynchus anatinus (platypus)
Lineage: Eukaryota; Metazoa; Chordata; Mammalia; Monotremata; Ornithorhynchidae
Rfam family: tRNA
About the family: Transfer RNA (tRNA) molecules are approximately 80 nucleotides in length. Their secondary structure includes four short double-helical elements and three loops (D, anti-codon, and T loops). Further hydrogen bonds mediate the characteristic L-shaped molecular structure. tRNAs have two regions of fundamental functional importance: the anti-codon, which is responsible for specific mRNA codon recognition, and the 3' end, to which the tRNAs corresponding amino acid is attached (by aminoacyl-tRNA synthetases). tRNAs cope with the degeneracy of the genetic code in two manners: having more than one tRNA (with a specific anti-codon) for a particular amino acid; and 'wobble' base-pairing, i.e. permitting non-standard base-pairing at the 3rd anti-codon position.
Source: Rfam by way of RNAcentral